GGGGAUAUAGCUCAGCUGGUAGAGUGAUUGCCUCUCAUGCACAAGGCCCUGGGUUCAAUCCCCAGUCUCCCCA
This is a non-coding RNA of Urocitellus parryii (Arctic ground squirrel), 73 nucleotides long. NCBI's taxonomy places the organism in Eukaryota, Metazoa, Chordata, Mammalia, Rodentia, Sciuridae. The record is from the annotation of a RefSeq genome assembly.